Molecule: ribosomal RNA, 254 nt
Filed under: uncultured bacterium
Lineage: Bacteria
Description: partial 16S ribosomal RNA
Rfam family: Bacterial small subunit ribosomal RNA
Source: RNAcentral
UACGUAGGGUGCGAGCGUUGUCCGGAAUUACUGGGCGUAAAGAGCUCGUAGGCGGUGUGUCACGUCGGCCGUGAAAACCUGGGGCUUAACUCUGGGCGUGCGGUCGAUACGGGCAUCACUAGAGUUCGGCAGGGGAGACUGGAAUUCCUGGUGUAGCGGUGAAAUGCGCAGAUAUCAGGAGGAACACCGGUGGCGAAGGCGGGUCUCUGGGCAGUAACUGACGCUGAGGAGCGAAAGCGUGGGGAGCGAACAGG